RNAcentral lists this ribosomal RNA (253 nucleotides) under uncultured bacterium. Its description in RNAcentral is "partial 16S ribosomal RNA". It matches the Rfam family "Bacterial small subunit ribosomal RNA", at positions 524 to 776 of the family's 1533-position model. The record is from RNAcentral.
UACGAAGGGGGCUAGCGUUGCUCGGAAUCACUGGGCGUAAAGGGUGCGUAGGCGGGUCUUUAAGUCAGGGGUGAAAUCCUGGAGCUCAACUCCAGAACUGCCUUUGAUACUGAAGAUCUUGAGUUCGGGAGAGGUGAGUGGAACUGCGAGUGUAGAGGUGAAAUGCGUAGAUAUCGGGAGGAACACCAGUGGCGAAGGCGAUCACCUGGGGUUGUUCUGACGCUGAGGAGCGAAAGCUAGGGGAGCAAACGGG